GUGCUCGCUUCAGCAGCUCAUAUACCAACACUGGAAUGAUACAGAGAUUAGCAUGGCCCCUGUGCAAGGAUGACAUGAAGCAUUCCAUAUUUUU
This 94-nucleotide small nuclear RNA is filed under the name Nannospalax galili (Upper Galilee mountains blind mole rat). Lineage: Eukaryota; Metazoa; Chordata; Mammalia; Rodentia; Spalacidae. The record is from RNAcentral.